This is a long non-coding RNA of Ostrea edulis (European flat oyster), 704 nucleotides long. RefSeq lists it as uncharacterized. The record is from RefSeq and is a predicted model, not a curated record. The transcript has 2 exons. NCBI's taxonomy places the organism in Eukaryota, Metazoa, Mollusca, Bivalvia, Ostreida, Ostreidae.
GUGAUUCAGUUUACUUGUUUAUCAGAAAAGCUCUUUAUCGGUGACUUAUUGUGGGAAUUCCGUACAUGGACUGUCUUUGACGUAAUUUUGCUGUCGCAAUUUCUUCACCUUUAUCUGCAAGUAGAAUACUAUAUAAAACGUUUAUUUCAUUUAGUUAUCUAGAAUGAAAAAAAUCCAUACAUAAGCGAUACUUCACAGGUAUUUGAAAUCUCACUGACACCAUGAUGCGUUCCACAUUUAUUCUCUUGUUCCUGGUCGCCUCCAUGUUUACAACGGUCCUGACAGCAUCGUGUCCAAGUCACUGCUACACCGCCAGUUCUACGUGCAUCAACAACUGUUAUAACACCUUAUCAAGUAUCAUCAACAACAUCGGGAAACGUGACGUCAUGAAAGCUAAAUCACGUCAGAGAAGAUACAAUUGUUCCAAUAUGUGUAUGUCCAUUUACAAUGCCUGCUGUGGAACAAGCUAAACUGAAUAAUAUUUUGAGAUGACAUUUUCUUUAAAGCAUCUGUUAUACGGGAUGAAUAAAGAGUAUAAAUAUGCAUGUAUCUGUUAAAUGUAGUGGAGUGAGACAAUGCCAUUUUAUCACGUGACGGCAGUCAUAUCUGAUGAUUGUUAGUAGAAGGAGGACAAAUUGGCUUCUGGAAGUAGCUUUCAUCAAGUAUUCUAAGAUGUUGAAUGAAUAAAUGUGAUGUCAAUUACA